UUCGAUUGAGUUUGAUCAUGGCUCAGGACGAACGCUGGCGGCGUGCCUAACACAUGCAAGUGGAGCGACGAACCGGGCUUCGGCCCGGGGCAAAGCCGCGAGCGGGUGAGUAACACGUGGGUAACCUGCCCUGAUGAUUGGGACAACCCGAGGAAACUCGGGCUAAUACCGAAUGUGCCCUCCGGCCUCAAGGCCGCUGGGGAAAGGAAGCUUCGGCCUCCGCAUCGGGAUGGGCCCGCGGCCCAUUAGCUUGUUGGUGAGGUAACGGCUCACCAAGGCAACGAUGGGUAGCUGGUCUGAGAGGACGAUCAGCCACACUGGGAUUGAGACACG
This 333-nucleotide ribosomal RNA is filed under the name uncultured bacterium. RNAcentral describes it as "bacterial SSU rRNA". It matches the Rfam family "Bacterial small subunit ribosomal RNA", at positions 1 to 328 of the family's 1533-position model. The record is from RNAcentral.